Molecule: ribosomal RNA, 562 nt
Filed under: uncultured bacterium
Lineage: Bacteria
Description: bacterial SSU rRNA
Rfam family: Bacterial small subunit ribosomal RNA
Source: RNAcentral
CCUACGGGAGGCAGCAGUGGGGAAUCUUGCGCAAUGGGCGAAAGCCUGACGCAGCAACGCCGCGUGCGGGAAGAAGGCUUUCGGGCUGUAAACCGCUUUCAGCAGGAACGAAAAUGACGGUACCUGCAGAAGAAGGAGCGGCCAACUAUGUGCCAGCAGCCGCGGUGAUACAUAGGCUUCAAGCGUUGUCCGGAUUUAUUGGGCGUAAAGAGUUCGUAGGCGGUCGAGUAAGUCGGGUGUGAAAAUUCUGGGCUCAACCCAGAGACGCCACCCGAUACUGCUUGACUUGAGUUCGAUAGGGGAGUGGGGAAUUCCUAGUGUAGCGGUGAAAUGCGCAGAUAUUAGGAGGAACACCGGUGGCGAAGGCGCCACUCUGGAUCGAUACUGACGCUGAGGAACGAAAGCAUGGGUAGCAAACAGGAUUAGAUACCCUGGUAGUCCAUGCCGUAAACGGUGGGCACUAGGUGUGGGUUUCUAUUAACGAAAUCCGCGCCGUCGCUAACGCAUUAAGUGCCCCGCCUGGGGAGUACGGUCGCAAGCUAAAACUCAAAUGAAUUGACGG